This 403-nucleotide ribosomal RNA is filed under the name bacterium. Its description in RNAcentral is "partial 16S ribosomal RNA". It matches the Rfam family "Bacterial small subunit ribosomal RNA", at positions 355 to 776 of the family's 1533-position model. The record is from RNAcentral.
UGGGGAAUAUUGCACAAUGGGGGAAACCCUGAUGCAGCGACGCCGCGUGAACGAAGAAGGUAUUCGUAUCGUAAAGUUCUGUCCUAUGGGAAGAUAAUGACAGUACCAUAGAAGAAAGCUCCGGCUAAAUACGUGCCAGCAGCCGCGGUAAUACGCAGGGAGCGAGCGUUGUCCGGAAUUAUUGGGCGUAAAGGGUACGCAGGCGGUUUAAUAAGUCGAAUGUUAAAGAUCGGGGCUCAACCCCGCAAAGCAUUGGAAACUGAUAAACUUGAGUAGUGGAGAGGAGAGUGGAAUUCCUAGUGUAGUGGUGAAAUACGUAGAUAUUAGGAGGAAUACCAGUGGCGAAGGCGACUUUCUGGACACAAACUGACGCUGAGGUACGAAAGCGUGGGGAGCAAACAGG